CCUACGGGCGGCAGCAGUGGGGAAUAUUGGACAAUGGGGGCAACCCUGAUCCAGCCAUGCCGCGUGUGUGAAGAAGGCCCUCGGGUUGUAAAGCACUUUCAGUGAGGAAGAACGCCUGGUGGUUAAUACCCAUCAGGAAAGACAUCACUCACAGAAGAAGCACCGGCUAACUCCGUGCCAACAGCCGCGGUAAUACGGAGGGUGCGAGCGUUAAUCGGAAUUACUGGGCGUAAAGCGCGCGUAGGUGGCUUGAUAAGCCGGUUGUGAAAGCCCCGGGCUCAACCUGGGAACGGCAUCCGGAACUGUCAAGCUAGAGUGCAGGAGAGGAAGGUAGAAUUCCCGGUGUAGCGGUGAAAUGCGUAGAGAUCGGGAGGAAUACCAGUGGCGAAGGCGGCCUUCUGGACUGGCACUGACACUGAGGUGCGAAAGCGUGGGUAGCAAACAGGAUUAGAUACCCCAGUAGUC
Molecule: ribosomal RNA, 465 nt
Filed under: Vreelandella stevensii
Lineage: Bacteria; Pseudomonadati; Pseudomonadota; Gammaproteobacteria; Oceanospirillales; Halomonadaceae
Description: partial 16S ribosomal RNA
Rfam family: Bacterial small subunit ribosomal RNA
Source: RNAcentral